This 85-nucleotide non-coding RNA is filed under the name Pontibacillus marinus. RNAcentral's name for it is "c-di-GMP sequence". It matches the Rfam family "c-di-GMP-I riboswitch aptamer". From Rfam's summary of the family: GEMM was predicted in a large-scale screen for bacterial structured RNA regulatory elements. Lineage: Bacteria; Bacillati; Bacillota; Bacilli; Caryophanales; Bacillaceae. RNAcentral also lists the same sequence under 1 other name. The record is from RNAcentral.
CUACGAAAAUGGCAAACUCAUUGAAAAAUGGGGACGCAAAGCCUAUGGGUCUAAGGUAUUUAACUACGAUAGCCAGGUUACCGAA